RNAcentral lists this ribosomal RNA (867 nucleotides) under uncultured bacterium. Its description in RNAcentral is "bacterial SSU rRNA". It matches the Rfam family "Bacterial small subunit ribosomal RNA", at positions 59 to 939 of the family's 1533-position model. The record is from RNAcentral.
AAGCUAGAGACGAUUACUUCGGUUUGAAUCUUUAGUGGAAAGUGGCGAACGGGUGAGUAACACGUGGAUGACCUGCCCCGGAGUGGGGGAUAACCAUUAGAAAUGAUGGCUAAUACCGCAUGGUCCUGUAAGUAUGGGAAUACUAACAGGUAAAACUCAGGUGCUCUGGGAGGGGUCUGCGGUCGAUUAGUUAGUUGGUGGGGUAAAGGCCUACCAAGGCAAUGAUCGAUAGCUGGUCUGAGAGGACGAUCAGCCACAUGGGAACUGAGACACGGUCCCAACUCCUACGGGGGGCAGCAGUGAGGAAUAUUGCACAAUGGGGGAAACCCUGAUGCAGCAACGCCGCGUGGAGGAUGAAGGCUCUUGGGUUGUAAACUCCUUUUCUGAGGGAAGAGCAAGGACGGUACCUCAGGAAUAAGGCCCGGCUAACUACGUGCCAGCAGCCGCGGUAAUACGUAGGGGCCAAGCGUUAUCCGGAUUUACUGGGCGUAAAGGGCACGCAGGCGGCCAUUUAAGUCUGGCGUGAAAUCUCUCGGCUUAACCGGGAGAGGUCGUUGGAAACUGAAUGGCUUGAGGCAGUGAGAGGGGUGUAGAAUUCCUGGUGUAGUGGUGGAAUGCGUAGAUAUCAGGAGGAAUACCAGUGGCGAAAGCGGCACCCUGGCACUGAACUGACGCUCAUGUGCGAAAGCGUGGGGAGCGAACGGGAUUAGAUACCCCGGUAGUCCACGCUGUAAACGAUGAACACUAGGUGUGGGUGGAUUCAAUCUUUCCGUACCGAAACAAACGCGAUAAGUGUUCCGCCUGGGAGUACGGCCGCAGGCUUAUACUCCAAGGAAUUGACGGGGACCCGGCACAAGCAGCGGAGCG